RNAcentral lists this ribosomal RNA (253 nucleotides) under uncultured bacterium. RNAcentral's name for it is "partial 16S ribosomal RNA". It matches the Rfam family "Bacterial small subunit ribosomal RNA", at positions 524 to 776 of the family's 1533-position model. The record is from RNAcentral.
UACGAAGGGGGCUAGCGUUGCUCGGAAUCACUGGGCGUAAAGCGCACGUAGGCGGCUUGUUAAGUCAGGGGUGAAAUCCUGGAGCUCAACUCCAGAACUGCCUUUGAUACUGGCGAUCUUGAGUCCGGGAGAGGUGAGUGGAACUCCGAGUGUAGAGGUGAAAUUCGUAGAUAUUCGCAAGAACACCAGUGGCGAAGGCGGCUCACUGGCCCGAUACUGACGCUGAGGUGCGAAAGCGUGGGGAGCAAACAGG